UAGUUUUUUAACUCUUUUAGAAUUUGUCCAGCAUGUUUUUUUGGUGUUAAUAAAAACCCACACAC
RNAcentral lists this small nuclear RNA (65 nucleotides) under Pongo abelii (Sumatran orangutan). It matches the Rfam family "U7 small nuclear RNA". Rfam says of the family: Animal histone pre-mRNAs are spliced by a different mechanism than nuclear pre-mRNAs and self-splicing introns. This processing involves the U7 snRNP, which contains only one RNA species: U7. Lineage: Eukaryota; Metazoa; Chordata; Mammalia; Primates; Hominidae. The record is from RNAcentral.